GCUGCGGUAUUUUGACCGUGCAAAGGUAGCAUAAUCAUUUGCUUUUUAAUUGGAAGCUGGUAUGAAAGGUCGGAUAAAGAAUAAACUGUCUCUUUAUUAAAAUUAGAAUUUUACUUUUAAGUGAAAAGGCUUAAAUAAAUUUAAGUGACGAUAAGACCCUAUAAAACUUUAUAUUAAUAAAUAACCUUAUUUUUUAUAUGUGAAAAAAUACAUUAUUAAUUAAUAUUUCGUUGGGGCGACGAGAAUAGAAUUGUAGCUGUUCACAUUGAUUAGUUAUUUAUGUUUAAAGUUUGUCUUUUUUAUAGAGAUUAUAAGAUUAAGUUACUUUAGGGAUAACAGCGUAAUUUUCUUUCAGAGUUCCUAUCGACAAGAAUAGUUGCGACCUCGAUGUUGAAUUAAAAUAUCUAUUUAGUGUAGCCGCUAUAAGUAGUGAGUCUGUUCGACUUUUAAAAUU
Molecule: ribosomal RNA, 454 nt
Filed under: Exoclimenella sudanensis
Lineage: Eukaryota; Metazoa; Arthropoda; Malacostraca; Decapoda; Palaemonidae
Description: partial large subunit ribosomal RNA
Rfam family: Bacterial large subunit ribosomal RNA
Source: RNAcentral